CCAUAGCCAUUACUUACAAUUAAUUCUUCAACCAUCAGGAGUAACAUAAAAGAUAUCAAAGAGAAGCUAUCAACAAUAAAGAUGGAUGAGAUACAGUACCUUCAGAGUCUUUUGCAAAAGGUUGAAGAACAGAACAGAAGCAUGGAAAAUCAGAUACAAUCACUCAUGAAGAAUCAGGACCAAACAAUGCUUUGAAUGCAGUGGAGAAGUUGAAAAGCUGGAACUCCCUUCUAUGAAAGUAUAUGCCAUGGAUCCUGUCCUUGCUGCAGCUUUUACUGCUGGAGCUUCUUACCAAUAUUUGUCAUCUACUACGCUUCUACUUAAUUGUUUGUUUUUUCCUACUUGCAACUAACGUAGAAUGCUUCAGCAUUUGCAGAUAUUGAAACCAUUGGUACAAUGAAUAUUUUUCCCUUUAUUAAGUUUUUUUUGUUGUUGUUUCAAAA
This is a long non-coding RNA of Dendrobium catenatum, 443 nucleotides long. RefSeq lists it as uncharacterized. The transcript has 3 exons. The record is from RefSeq and is a predicted model, not a curated record. NCBI's taxonomy places the organism in Eukaryota, Viridiplantae, Streptophyta, Magnoliopsida, Asparagales, Orchidaceae.